RNAcentral lists this unclassified non-coding RNA (211 nucleotides) under Hevea brasiliensis (rubber tree). Lineage: Eukaryota; Viridiplantae; Streptophyta; Magnoliopsida; Malpighiales; Euphorbiaceae. The record is from RNAcentral.
GAGCAAAAGGAAGGGUAUUCAGGUAAUUCAUGAUGCAGCAGAAGAGAUCAUGACAGAAACCUUGUAUGGUGAUAGCAUUAGGCUUCAACAGGUGUUGGCUGACUUCUUAUCAGUGUCGCUUAACUAUACACCAACUGGAGGCCAGUUUACUGUUGCAGCAAGUUUGACCAAAGAUCAGUUAGGGCAAUCUGUUCAUCUUGUGCAUCUGGAA